Molecule: ribosomal RNA, 443 nt
Filed under: uncultured bacterium
Lineage: Bacteria
Description: partial 16S ribosomal RNA
Rfam family: Bacterial small subunit ribosomal RNA
Source: RNAcentral
CCUACGGGAGGCAGCAGUGGGGAAUAUUGGGCAAUGGGCGCAAGCCUGACCCAGCAACGCCGCGUGAAGGAAGAAGGCUUUCGGGUUGUAAACUUCUUUUAUUGAGGACGAAACAAAUGACGGUACUCAAUGAAUAAGCCACGGCUAACUACGUGCCAGCAGCCGCGGUAAUACGUAGGUGGCAAGCGUUAUCCGGAUUUACUGGGUGUAAAGGGCGUGUAGCCGGGCUGACAAGUCAGAUGUGAAAUUCCGGGGCUCAACCCCGGACCUGCAUUUGAAACUGGUGGUCUUGAGUAUCGGAGAGGCAGGCGGAAUUCCUAGUGUAGCGGUGAAAUGCGUAGAUAUUAGGAGGAACACCAGUGGCGAAGGCGGCCUGCUGGACGACAACUGACGGUGAGGCGCGAAAGCGUGGGGAGCAAACAGGAUUAGAUACCCCUGUAGUC